GACGAACGCUGGCGGCGUGCUUAACACAUGCAAGUCGUACGGUAAGGCCCUUUCGGGGGUACACGAGUGGCGCACGGGUGCGUAACACGUGAGUAACCUGCCCACAACUUUGGGAUAACGCUAGGAAACUGGUGCUAAUACUGGAUAUGUGCUCCUGCUGCAUGGUGGGGGUUGGAAAGCUCCGGCGGUUGUGGAUGGACUGGCGGCCUCUCCGCUGGUUGGUGGGGUAGUGGCCUACCAAGGCGGCGACGGGUAGCCGGCCUGAGAGGGUGACCGGCCACAUUGGGACUGAGAUACGGCCCAGACUCCGACGGGAGGCAGCAGGGGGGAAUAUUGCACAAUGGGCGCAAGCCUGAUGCAGCAACGCCGCGUGCGGGAUGACGGCCUUCGGGUUGUAAACCGAUUUCAGCAGGGACGAAGCUUUUUGUGACGGUACCUGCAGAAGAAGCACCGGCUAACUACGUG
RNAcentral lists this ribosomal RNA (465 nucleotides) under uncultured bacterium. RNAcentral's name for it is "partial 16S ribosomal RNA". It matches the Rfam family "Bacterial small subunit ribosomal RNA", at positions 28 to 507 of the family's 1533-position model. The record is from RNAcentral.